CUGUAGGUAACAACAUUUGGU
RNAcentral lists this non-coding RNA (21 nucleotides) under Arabidopsis thaliana (thale cress). Lineage: Eukaryota; Viridiplantae; Streptophyta; Magnoliopsida; Brassicales; Brassicaceae. The record is from RNAcentral.